Long non-coding RNA from Cucurbita maxima (winter squash), 122 nucleotides. RefSeq lists it as uncharacterized. Lineage: Eukaryota; Viridiplantae; Streptophyta; Magnoliopsida; Cucurbitales; Cucurbitaceae. The record is from RefSeq and is a predicted model, not a curated record. The transcript is spliced from 3 exons.
UGCUAUGAUACCAAGUGUUAGGAUCGCUCAACAACGCACACAGUCGAUCAAGAUGAACACAAAGAACAUGAGAGAGAAAAUUCAAGGAGAAUAUAUUGGCUAAAGAUUUUACUGAUGACUUC